This 220-nucleotide ribosomal RNA is filed under the name Streptomyces sp. SP18CM02. RNAcentral's name for it is "partial 16S ribosomal RNA". It matches the Rfam family "Bacterial small subunit ribosomal RNA", at positions 1 to 223 of the family's 1533-position model. Lineage: Bacteria; Bacillati; Actinomycetota; Actinomycetes; Kitasatosporales; Streptomycetaceae. The record is from RNAcentral.
CAUUCACGGAGAGUUUGAUCCUGGCUCAGGACGAACGCUGGCGGCGUGCUUAACACAUGCAAGUCGAACGAUGAAGCCCUUCGGGGUGGAUUAGUGGCGAACGGGUGAGUAACACGUGGGCAAUCUGCCCUUCACUCUGGGACAAGCCCUGGAAACGGGGUCUAAUACCGGAUAACACUCUGUCCUGCAUGGGACGGGGUUGAAAGCUCCGGCGGUGAAG